RNAcentral lists this ribosomal RNA (468 nucleotides) under uncultured bacterium. RNAcentral describes it as "partial 16S ribosomal RNA". It matches the Rfam family "Bacterial small subunit ribosomal RNA", at positions 28 to 507 of the family's 1533-position model. The record is from RNAcentral.
GACGAACGCUGGCGGCGUGCUUAACACAUGCAAGUCGAACGGAAAGGCCCUGCUUUUGUGGGGUGCUCGAGUGGCGAACGGGUGAGUAACACGUGAGUAACCUGCCCUUGACUUUGGGAUAACUUCAGGAAACUGGGGCUAAUACCGGAUAGGAGCUCCUGCUGCAUGGUGGGGGUUGGAAAGUUUCGGCGGUUGGGGAUGGACUCGCGGCUUAUCAGCUUGUUGGUGGGGUAGUGGCUUACCAAGGCUUCGACGGGUAGCCGGCAUGAGAGGGUGACCGGCGACAUUGGGACUGAGAGACGGCCCAGACGCCUACGGGAGGCAGCAGGGGGGAAUAUUGCGCAGUGGGCGGAAGCCUGAGACAGCGACGCCGCGUGCGGGAUGACGGCCUACGGGGUAUAAACCGCUUUCGCCUGUGACGAAGCGGGAGUGACGGUAAUGGGUAAAGAAGCACCGGCUAACUACGUG